UAAUCCAAGAGUUGUACUUUCAAAAUUUGUAUUUAUUAAAUAAAAGUUUUCUGUUAAAAAAAUCUUGAAAAUUAAAAAAAAUAACUGCUAAAUGUUCCUUGUUUAUACUCUGGAAUAGUGUCUGUUGGGUUGGCAGUAUUUGCCUCUUCAUUGUUUGGUAGACCUUCCAAGUAAGACUGGGUCUGGAGUUUUCUUUGAGGGAAAUGUUAAACUACUGAUUGAAUUUCCUGACGGAUGUGUGGUGGUGUCAGUAUUCUGCUUCUAUUCCUCAUUUACCGGGACCCCUGCUCACCCCAGGAAUUUGACAUUUCCAUCUGAGUUUAGAAAUCUAUGGGCAUAUUUUGGUUCAUGACAUUGUUUUAUUUCCAUUUAAGAUUUUGCAAAAUCUGUCGUAAGGUGUGGUGGAAUGAGAAGGCCAUGGCAAGGUGGCCACUGGCAAGCAAGUGUCAGUUACUCAGGAAUGGCUUUGAAACCCACCUGGCAACGGAGCCUGCCUGGCAACAGGCUGUGAUUGGUUGGGGCAUAGACCACCCGUUGACCAGAUUGGCUGGUCUUGGCUAUAUAAGAUGUUGUUCCAACUGUAAUAAACAAGUCUGUGGGCUGCUCGCCUCAGGCCUGCUUUCACCUGACUCCAGGGUCUGUGUGGUGACUCUGCACCUCUUGCCCCCACCACGCUGCUCCUCUCAGAAAUGAAUCCACUGUAACAUUGUUGAGAAAUCAAUGGCAACAUUGUCCAGAAGAUUUAAGGGGCAUCUGGCAGUGGUAUCCUACAUGGAGGAAAAAAAAAAAAGGAACUGGAAUGGAAUUCAGAAGAUGAAAAUCAAGCUAGCAAGACCCUCCAAAAUAUAUUAGGAAGUCUUGUUUCUAAUUUUGAAAUGGUUUUGUGAUAUGUUAGUAUAAUUGCCAAUUCCUCUUUCAUAUAUAUGUAUGAGCUUGAUUCUAUAAUACUUAGAAGCAAAACAUUAGCAACUAUUCUUGAAAAAUAAAAAAGUUUAAAAGAAACAUUUCCUAAAAUAGUACAGAAUCCCAGAAGUCAUUUAAUCUGAGCUCCCUCGUCUUGAGUUACUAAGGAAACUGAAGUUCAGUCAAAAUGAAUGAUUUUUUUAAAGAUUUAUUUAUUUGAAAGAUCUUCCAUCCACCAGUUCCCUCCCCAGAUGGCUGAAUGAAACCAGGAGCUUCUUCCGGGUCUCCCACACGGUGGCAAUGGCCCAAGCAUUUGGGUCGUCUUCUGCUUUUUCCCAGGCCAUCAGCAGGGAGCUGGUUUGGAAGUGGAGCAGCCGGGACAUGAACUGGUACCUGUAUGGAAUGGCAGCAUGACAAGUGGCAGCUUUACCCACUCCGCCACAACGCCGGCCCCUGAAAUGAAUGAUUCGAUAAACAGGUAAAAAGUUACAGAAUGAGUGUAGGAUCAGAAAGAGCGACUUACCUAGAGCUUGAUAAUCUGGUGUAAACAACUGAAUUAAGACAGACCAGCACCAUACAUGAUUAACUGGGA
Non-coding RNA from Oryctolagus cuniculus (rabbit), 1495 nucleotides. NCBI's taxonomy places the organism in Eukaryota, Metazoa, Chordata, Mammalia, Lagomorpha, Leporidae. The record is from RefSeq and is a predicted model, not a curated record.